GCCGCGUGUGUGAAGAAGGCCUUCGGGUUGUAAAGCACUUUCAGCGAGGAGGAAAGGUUAGUAGUUAAUAACUGCUAGCUGUGACGUUACUCGCAGAAGAAGCACCGGCUAACUUCGUGCCAGCAGCCGCGGUAAUACGAGGGGUGCAAGCGUUAAUCGGAAUUACUGGGCGUAAAGCGUGCGUAGGUGGUUUGUUAAGCAAGAUGUGAAAGCCCUGGGCUCAACCUGGGAACUGCAUUUUGAACUGGCAAGCUAGAGUUUUGUAGAGGGUAGUGGAAUUUCCAGUGUAGCGGUGAAAUGCGUAGAGAUUGGAAGGAACAUCAGUGGCGAAGGCGGCUACCUGGACAAAGACUGACACUGAGGCACGAAAGCGUGGGGAGCAAACAGGAUUAGAUACCCUGGUAGUCCACGCCGUAAACGAUGUCAACUAGCCGUCUGUGGUCUUGAACCGUGGGUGGCGUAGCUAACGCGCUAAGUUGACCGCCUGGGGAGUACGGCCGCAAGGUUAAAACUCAAAUGAAUUGACGGGGGCCCGCACAAGCGGUGGAGCAUGUGGUUUAAUUCGAUGCAACGCGAAGAACCUUACCAUCCCUUGACAUCCAGAGAAGCGACUAGAGAUAGACGUGUGCCUUCGGGAACUCUGUGACAGGUGCUGCAUGGCUGUCGUCAGCUCGUGUUGUGAAAUGUUGGGUUAAGUCCCGCAACGAGCGCAACCC
This 716-nucleotide ribosomal RNA is filed under the name Cognaticolwellia aestuarii. RNAcentral's name for it is "bacterial SSU rRNA". It matches the Rfam family "Bacterial small subunit ribosomal RNA", at positions 396 to 1104 of the family's 1533-position model. Lineage: Bacteria; Pseudomonadati; Pseudomonadota; Gammaproteobacteria; Alteromonadales; Colwelliaceae. The record is from RNAcentral.